GUGUAUAGCAGAUCUCAUUUCAUUAUUCUGAAUGAACAUUUGGUGCCGAAACAUUUGGUUUGCAAAUUACUUGUAACACAUGUUGGUUGAGCAUUCCGUGAGCUGAACUAUAAGCAUUUCAUAUAUACCGAAUUUUGUUGAUGGAACUGAAUACAUGGGUAACAGAUACUUACUGACAAGGAAUGAGGAGAACAAGGAAAAACGAUCUUGGUCAUGCACCUCUGGAAGAAAUGGCCAGUGUUCGAUCAUAUUUAGCUUGCCGAAGGACCAGCUGCAGUUGGCAAACAAUAUCUGUUCAAACUUGAUUAUACUGUAAACAAACUAGGUAUGGUUUUUGCAAUUUGUCAUAGUUUUCAGCGUACCUACAUGCUUAUGUUCAUGUGUGUGUACUCAUAGCUUGUGUUGGUGUGUGUGUGUAACUGUGUAUUUUGGGAGAGGGGAUAAAGCCUAUAAAUUUUACACUUGAUCAUUA
Molecule: long non-coding RNA, 472 nt
Organism: Panicum virgatum (switchgrass)
Lineage: Eukaryota; Viridiplantae; Streptophyta; Magnoliopsida; Poales; Poaceae
Exons: 2
Source: RefSeq, a predicted model, not a curated record